This 408-nucleotide ribosomal RNA is filed under the name uncultured bacterium. Its description in RNAcentral is "partial 16S ribosomal RNA". It matches the Rfam family "Bacterial small subunit ribosomal RNA", at positions 28 to 526 of the family's 1533-position model. The record is from RNAcentral.
GACGAACGCUGGCGGCGUGCUUAACACAUGCAAGUCGAACGAAGUGGCGCACGGGUGAGUAACGCGUAAUCAACCUGCCCUUCAGAGGGGGACAACAGUUGGAAACGACUGCUAAUACCGCAUACUGAAGGUGGGGAUUGCGUCUGAUUAGCUAGUUGGGGGGGUAACGGCCCACCAAGGCGAUGAUCAGUAGCCGGGCGUGGAAGAAGAACCGCCAAAUUGGGACUGGGACAAGGGCCAGAACGCUACGGGAGGCAGCAGGGGGGAAUUAUCCGAAAUGGAGGGAAGGCUGGCGGAGCAACGCCGCGUGGGUGAUGACGGCCUUCGGGGUGUAAAGCUCUGUUAAUCGGGACGCGGUACCGGAAGAGAAAGCCACGGCUAACUACGUGCCAGCAGCCGCGGUAAUAC